UAUGUUUGCAAAUGCACUGAAAACAUAUUAUGUGUGAUUUACUCAAACAUGUUUUGUUUCUCCUCUCAAUGCUAUUUAAUUACUUGCAAUCAAUGCAACACGAAGCAAAAUCAGAUCUACUAGUUUGAAUUAUGUAGGGGGAGUGUGAACCAAUAAAGCUAAUUCAUGACGAGUAAUGAGUAACAAUUCAAACCUUGGGAGAGAAGAAUCUUCCAGAAAGAACGCUGGCGCGUUAGCGGAGAAGACAGUACCUAGAAUCUUGGUCAAGGUCCAUGAUGUUUGCCUACUAUACUACAUUUGUGCUGCUUUGUCUACCCAUUCAAAGGCUAUAUAGUGUUGUGUUGUGGAAAUGUAAGGGGUGUUCAGAAUUGGUGUCAAGUAGGUCCCAACUUUUGCAUCAUUACAAGUUAAAGCACCCACAUUACAGCUGUACUGUCCAUUACCCAGAGACUAAGAAACAAGAUGUAAACUCCUGCAAUUAUGAAAAUCAUCCUGAUUGAUUGGCAGCUGCCAGAGACUGACCUUCCCUUGUGGACUACCUGAAUCUGUGACUGACCUUUUGAACGAUGUAAAGAAGUAGUGUGGACUUCACGGCAACUUCAGACUUCAGUUCAUGGACCCUAUUUUUGGAAAUUAGUUAUUUAACCUGAAGUCAAUGGCAGAAGUAGAGGACAAAGGUACUCUUAAAGUUAUUGACAUGUUAGAGACCCCCACAAUUCACUGUGCUGAAACCUCCAGCAGAAUCAACACCCCAUUCCCGACAACCUCCGCCUUCAAUUGUCACCACAUCGAUGACUCGUCAACACUAUCCAGUGGCUCAGUUGAUACUGACAUACUGUCUUUUCCAGAGUCUACUAGCUCACGGUCCUCUUGGCCUACUUUGUUCUGUGUGCCUAGAUUCUCCUAUGAUGCUGAGAUAAAACUUCAGCAGGCCAAUUCAGCUUACCUUGAAAGUGGCACUCUACUUGUUCCAGAGCCUAAGUUGAAGUCAGACAUACGCAACGGCUUGUUGCAAGAAAUUGUCCAGUAUAAAGUUUAUGCCACUGAUGGAGAGAUGCAACAGGUUGCAGAGUCUAAUCAAGAAGCAUCCAUGUUUGACUGAGAAGUAUUCCUUCACUGGAUGUGGCGGAUGGAAAAGCAGUUUGAAAUACAAACUGGCAAACUACCGCACUCGCCUGAGAAGACUGGGAUGUCCAGAGGUGACAAACUCCUUGAAGCACAAACCUGCAGGGAAGUCAAGUGCAGCCUAUGGUGUUAAAAAGGCAAAGAGAGCAGAAAUGAACUUUUGCCCCACAUAUCCCUCAGGAGAAACAGAAGAGAGCCUUGAGGACAUGCGAAAAGCUCUACUCUCCGAUGUGAAGAAAAGGAAUAACAGAGAGACAGUGAAGUUCAAAAUGGAGAAAAUGUUUGCAUACAAGAGACAUGAAGUUGUCCGUGGUAGAGGACUUCAUGGCAAGAUGGCCUGCGCUCUUUGAAGUCAUUGAGGUCAAUGCUGAGUUUAAGAGAAUCACCACAACCCCACUCUAGUCCAAAUUUCUUUCUCAACUUGAUAUACACGUAGAUAACCUGCUGAAGUUGUUCCAAAGAAGAGGAGGUCAGCUGGGCAGAAGAAUCAUAUCAAUCAUGGCACCAAUUGCUGAUGGCAUGGAUGAAGAGUCCACUAUGCCAGCCAUUGAGUACACUACUGUGGGGAUCUACAUUAUCACAGACCAUGCAGUGAGUGAGUUACCAGAGGACACUGGGAUUGUCCUUGAAGGCGUCAAGGUGCUGCAGGAUCUGGGCAACGUAACAUUUGCUGUUGCAAUGCUGUUCAGCCUCAUGUAAGCCAUGAACCUCAGUUACCCUACUGAGCUCCGCCACACCUUUGAAGUCUUUCAGAAGGUUUUUAUGGAACUAAAUGGGGACAAACUUUCUAACAAAGCUGUUGCAUUUAAAAACAGGCUGUUUCAGUGAGCUGUUUUGUUUUGUGUUGUGUUUCAGACUAUAAUGUUGUGUUUCACACUGUAUGUUUGACUUAUGUUGAACUUGUUAUAUUGUUCACAAAAACUCAAAACAGAAUGAGCAUGUCCAAAGAUGGAGCUAUCGUGAUUUUGUUAGAUAUUUUGUAUGGUGUUUUGAGUAGAUGCCCUUAAUUGUCUUUGCGGCUUAUGGAAAAAGUUCAGUUUCACUUUGUAGUGACUUUUAGUCAAUAGAAUUAACAUGCACAAAUAUGUACACAUACAGUGGGGAGAACAAGUAUGUGAUACA
Long non-coding RNA from Coregonus clupeaformis (lake whitefish), 2247 nucleotides. RefSeq lists it as uncharacterized. The transcript has 6 exons. NCBI's taxonomy places the organism in Eukaryota, Metazoa, Chordata, Actinopteri, Salmoniformes, Salmonidae. The record is from RefSeq and is a predicted model, not a curated record.